UUAGUAUAAAAACGACCAUACUAAACAUUGAUCACAAUACCACCAUUGCUUAUUAUUACACCAAAAAUAUAUACAAGAACCUUCUCAAAUUUGUUGUCUAAACACUAUUAGAUAUUAACUAUCAUCUUGCAACAACAUAAUGAAUCACAACUUAUCUACUAUAGUCAUCAACUCUCAAGCCAUGUCCUAUCCUUGUUGCUAGUGAAGUCUAUUGUCACUUCUCUUUGAGUUAACUCAAGUUCUUCUAAAAUUGCUAUCCCCUCUUUUUCUUAAUUGGCAACUUUCUCAACUGAUCUAGAUUUACUCCUAGCCUCACAACUAAUAUUUUUUUUUUAUUGUAAUCCUCACCUUCUCUUUUUUAGAUUCUUCCAUUCACCUUUAUGUGUU
This 387-nucleotide long non-coding RNA is filed under the name Physcomitrium patens. RNAcentral's name for it is "long non-coding RNA (PPAT_LNC013173)". The record is from RNAcentral. Lineage: Eukaryota; Viridiplantae; Streptophyta; Bryopsida; Funariales; Funariaceae.